RNAcentral lists this long non-coding RNA (2197 nucleotides) under Olea europaea subsp. europaea. Lineage: Eukaryota; Viridiplantae; Streptophyta; Magnoliopsida; Lamiales; Oleaceae. The record is from RNAcentral.
AUUCGAUACAAAUAGAAUUGUCCAAGCAAUUAAUAAAGCAGCAAUAUAGAUGUCAAAAUUGCCCGUUGGCCCAAUGCAAGGCGUGCCUGUGAGUGAGAGGCGCUUGAACUACCAAUUGGUAAUGACACCUAAGACAGUUCACAAGAAACCUGAGCCACUGAUAAAAUAUUCCCAGCAAACAUAUUGAAGCCAUUAAAAAGUAUGACUUAAAAGAACAAAAUUUCUGAUCAGAGGCUUUUGAUCUCAACUAGAACAUUAAAUCACAAAAGGGCAGUUUUCAUAACCUGCUACGAAGCUACCGCAGUCGAGUUAAUUCGUUUAACACUAUUAGGAAUGCAAGAAAGUUGGAUGAGACAAACUGUAAUAACCUUUUAACAUUAUAAGUUGUAAAUUUGAAACUCCAAAGCUUACACGAAUGCGUUAAAACUAAGUCAUUAAGACUACAGUGACUACGGGCUGCAAAAAUGCACCAAGGAAAAACUCUCUUAACAUGUCAUUAGACCUCUUUGCCCCCAUUUUUCUACACUGUUAAUCGUAGAAGAAUUGAUUGCAAAUUUCUUUGGAAAAAUCCUUCCCAGCUUCAAGGUGCCUCAUGCUUUGAAUCUGCAUCAACAGGAGGAUAUCAGGAUUUGGAGAAGAUAAUCAGACAAGAUAUAUGGUCCUCCCUUAUAGAGACUGAAGAGAAGCAUAAGAUGUAAAAGAUCAACCUCUCCACCAACAACAUGCAUGAAUGCAAGGGAAGUAGGCGUUAACGUGUUGGUGAACUUUCAAGUUGGUCCCUGAAAUUAAUUACACUUGUUUAAAAUUGACUAGAAAAGAGAGAUGGCAAUGGGGGCGACAAUAGGAGAAGCAGGGAUAAAAAAUCUACAUUCCCCAUACCGUUAUUUAUUUAUAUAUUUUUUAAAUUACUAUUUAAAUAAAAAUAGAUAAAAGGCUUAUAACAAAGGAAAAAUAAAGUUAAAAACAGGAAUCGAGGCAGGUUCAGGGCAGAGACCAUGUUUCUAGCCCCAAUUCAUCAGCCAGGCGGGCAGGAGCGGAGUACUUUGCCAUCACUCAAAAGUUCACAGAGAGCACAGUUUAUAGAAGAUAAAAUUAGUUGUGGAACAACUGCCAUCACUCAAAAGAUCGUGGAGAGCACAGUUUAUAGAAGAUAAAAUUACUUGUGGAGCAACUUGAAACAAACUGAUAUUCAGUGAUCAACAUGAAAUUUUACUAAAAAUUAAUCGACCACAAGUGAAUGUAGUUGAUACAACAUUCUACAAUAGUAUCGAAGCUCUUCAAGAUUUUUCCUCCAGCAGCUACUCAAACUGACUAAAAAAGAUCCAAUCUGAACAUCCAAUUUAUAAUAAUGUGCAAAAUUGUUUACCAGCAAGCAUACAUAAAAUUUUUGAUAGUACAUAAUGAUAACUGAUAUGUUAAGAGUACAAGAUCAAUGUAAUUUAACCAGAUGCCUAUAACUAUAGGCCAGUAAUGAUAGCCAAAACAGAGCUUAAAAUUAUAUACUUCUCCUUGGUAGGAGACAACAAUCACAAACUAAAACUCUUACUAAUCAACAUAACUAGCUACUGCAAUCACAUUCCUCCAAAUUGCAUAGAAUUUUCCAGUACAAUUCCUAACUUAAGAAAGUUGGAGGACUUUUUGAAAGUCUCUCAUAAAACCUCCUAACUGGGUUUUUUGUUGGGAUUGAUGGUUAUGGCCAAUGAGAUUAUCUAUGGAUCUGCAAUGACAUACACAGAAAGCGAGAAGUUUAGUAUUUGUUUAGUGUGUUUGGGUAAUGACUGACGCUACUGCAUAAAUAGUAUAUUCUAGAAUUAGAAAUAGAGGUUCUUUGAUUGUUUGCAUUGCAUUAAAUUGAGGGGUUUUAACAUUUUAGUUUUUACGAUAAGAAGAAAUAUAGAAUGCUGAGACUCUAGGCAAAAGAGGGGUGUAAAAUAAAAAAUCUCAUAGAGCGUUACCAGCACAAGAGGGGGUUUAAAAUAAAAAAUCUCAAAGUUAUGAUAAUAACUAAAAACACCUAAACAAUUAGAUAUUGACCACUUGAUGCUGUGCAUUUACCUAUAUCCAAUACGCUUCAUUCAUUGUUGAUUUAUAUGUAGCACCUGUUGGGGUUCACUUAACUACUGUAAAGUUUAACUUACAUGUUAAAUACUGUAUUUACUACCCCAUGGUAGCAUAAAAAAGGUUGUGAAAAUAGAAU